Long non-coding RNA from Diceros bicornis minor, 4692 nucleotides. RefSeq lists it as uncharacterized. The record is from RefSeq and is a predicted model, not a curated record. Lineage: Eukaryota; Metazoa; Chordata; Mammalia; Perissodactyla; Rhinocerotidae. The transcript is spliced from 3 exons.
UUGUAGGGAAAUCUGUUUCUAUCAACUUUUUGAGUGAGACAGGAAAAGCCCCUCCACUCAGGCUCUGAUGGCUAUCAAACUGGGGUUGGGAGAAGGUGGGGAUAGGCCAGGGGAUGUGGAGAGACCAGGUGUCCCUAUUUGACCUGAAAUUUGCCUCCUUGACCAAGGGUGACCAGUGGCUAUGGGCAGGUGGGAAACUUUGAGAGUCUGAUGAUGUAUUGGUCCAAACAGCCUAUGAGGUAGACAAACAACAUCACUGGUGAGCACAGAGGGGCCAGAGUGACAGGGCCGCCCACCCUCUUAAGCCAUCAGAAGGUCUUCGGCUUUGACUCCUAGUGAAAUGGGCUAACUGGCUGUGGGGAACAGAGGAGUGACAGAGAUGGCUUACAUGUUAACGGGAUCACUCUGGCUGCUAUGCUGAGGAUACACUAAAAUUGGACAUGAGUAGAAGAAGCAAAACCAGUUAAAAACACUACUGCAGGAAUGCAAACUACAGACAGUGAGAAAUAAUCAGAUUUUGGGUAUCAUUUUGAAGGUAGAGCCAACUAGAUUUGCUGACUGGGGCUUAUAAGAAAGAGGAGUUGAGGACAAGUCCAGAGUUUUUGAUCUGAGCAAUUCCAGAAUGGAAACAAUAUUUAAUGAGAUGGGGAAAAUCACCAGGAGAAGCAGGCUUGGGUUGAAAAGCAAGAGCUCCAUUUGGGACAAAAUAAGUCUGAGAUGCCCGUGAGAUUCCAAAUGGAGAAGCUGAUUUCAGCCGGGUAAGACUGGUAUGGACUUCUGACAUAGAGAAUUGUAAGAUAAUGAACGUGUGUUAUUAAGCUACUAAAUGUGUGAUGUUGUUAUGGCAGUGAUGGAAAACUAGACCUGCUGUCUGCCAGACCAGUUAACAGGACUUGUAAGGCCUGGCAAAUGUGCUUGCCAUCCUGCCCAAGACCUGGUGCUCUUGCUCCCAUAAUUGCCCUCUACCCUUCUCUUCUGGUUUCUGAACUUAAGAGCAUUUUUCCAUGUAUCUGCAUCCUUGGCCUGAUCCCAGCCCCAUCCCCUAAAUAGACUAUCCUGCCAUAGAAUAUCCUGUCAUGCUUUUAGCACAUUAUUUUCAAUGCGUAUUCAAAGUAAAGUUCAAAUAAUUCCAAUUUCAGAAGCAGAGGCCAUUUCAUUGCCCCGAAAGUCCUCACAUUCAUCACCCCAAUCAGGUGUGAAACUACACUAUUUUUAAAGAUCUUCAGAAAAGGCUAUUCAACACCUUCCCUUUCAGAAAUGACAUUUUCAAAUGUGUGAGACAAACAUAAGUUUGACCUAUCAACCAGCAAGUAGUUUACCAUUCCUAUACAGUCCUGUGAGGAAAAGAGAAAUAAGACUAUCUAUCCUUCCCCAACAGGAGCUAGGGCAACUGAAAUUUAAAGUGAACCCAUAAUAAUUAAAUGACAAACCAUAACAACUAUAAAUGUCCUAAGACAAUGUGUAGUAGCAUGGCCAAUAAAGGAUAUGGGCUCCAAAUGCCUAGGAUAUUAGAGGGAGAUCACUUCUGACUAAGUGAGACAAUGAAAAGUAUCUGGUACCCAUAGUCCAGGGAGGAAAUUCAAAUCAACUUCUAGCCAUCUUGGAUGGGACAAAGAAGGCAAUUCCAAGAACUCAUCCAAAUGUGGAAAUGGAGAUAUCCUAACAUUUCUCAAGUGCUGUAAUAAAAUAUUCAAAAUAUUUAUCUGGUUUCAACUUCUCUUUACAGAUAGGCACUAUCUUCAUCUGAGUCUGAUUAAUUGAAAAGCACUCCUUGGCCAAAUUCUUCUCUUCCCAAAAGUCAGCUUAUAAUGUGACAAAAAAUUUCUUUAAGCUCAGACUUCCAAAGAAGUUUAGAGAAAAUUUCACUAGUAAAAUAAUUCACAAAUAGUUAUUAAGUACCCAUGAGCCAGGCAUGGUACUAGGCCCUAGGGAGAGAAAGCCAAAUCCACACUCAAUUUAGUCCUCAUAAUCAUUCUGCGAAGUAGGUGUUAUUAUCACCUUUUGUAGGUGUGGAAACUAAGGCAUAGCAGUUAAUAGCUUACGCAGAGUCCACAGUUAGAAACUGUCAGGGCCAGCAUUUGAACCCAGGCAGAGGAAAGACAAGUAAACAAAUCAUUACAAUAUGAUAAGUGCCCUAUAUAAUAAAGGUUAUGUUCAAGGAACGGUUGAAUUAUCAACCGUUAAUUUAGUUACUAAUCUAAUCAGAUUUUUCGAGGUUUUUGUCACCUAAACUCCAUGUUCUCAGAGGGAGUCUCUCUUUCAGGAUUGGGCUACACAUGUGAUGGGAUUUAAAGAAGCACUCUAAGAGGAUGCAUCCCAACUGAAGAUCAACACAUGCUGGAAUUGGAUUCCCUAUCGAUCCAACACCAAAGUCUGCAACUAUUUCUCUGGGAGAAAAAGAGAAAGCGACUUCUCAAAGAGCUCUCUGAAUCACUUAUUUAAGGACGCUCCACUAAGAAAAGGAGAGUGGCAAUGGCAAGGGCCAGAGCCUUGAUGUUCUCAUCAAAGUGACCCCUGAACUAAACAGAAGUAAACCAGGGUGAGGAUUAUGUCUUAUCUUUCUUCCUUCCCAAUCUGCAUCAAUUUGUGGCACUCAUCAGAGAAGCCGUGUUGAAAAAUCUUUGGACUGGAAUCAGAAAGUCUGAAUUCCACUAUUUAGCAGCUGAGUGUCUUUGAGCAAGUCCCUAGAGAACUUUGAGCUGAGGCUUCUUUAGUUAUAGGGACCUCAUUUUCUUGAUCUAUAAAGUGGCAAGGUGGGAAUGAAUAAUCUCUGCUAUCUCAUGCAGCUCUAAUAUUCUAUGACUUCACAAUUUCCAAAUAAGUGAUUUUGGGUUUGUACCUCAAACUGAGAGGCUAACCUCUCCAUGCAAAUUAGCUAGAGCAAACAGUAGAUUAUUCUGGAGUAUGAACCAAAUGGCUGGAGCUUUGAGGGCAUUUUAUUGCCAAUAUUUUGUAGAAGGUCUUAAGGUCUAUGAAAAGAUGCUAGUUGCUGUGGUAAUGCCUCUGUUAAAGAAGAUGAGUUCCAGUGACAGAGCAAUUGUUUGGAUGCAUGUUAAUGGAGCAUGUCCAGGUUCUUACCUUGAAAUGCAAACUUAUGGCUUUUCUGGUACACUUAGACUACACUGCUGCUUAUUUUAGGAAGAGGAAAAUCACUGAUGCUUGGAUUGCUAGCAGUAUCUAUGAGUGCAGCAUUAGUUCCCAAUGCUAAUAGCUACUUUAGCAAGAGGUGAGCUUGAGCCUCCCAAAUGUCAGUCAUUACCACCUUGGCUGCCAAAAACUUUUCUUUCUGGAGGGGACUGAGGAAAAGAAAUAAAUUUUCACUAACACUUUGGAUCUACUGGUCUUUGGAGCAAAGGCUAGCAGUCACUCUUCUUUGAUUACUAGAGCUAUUCUCUUUGGCCUUCUUUAGGCUAACAAGUUCCAAAGUUCCAGAAUCCCUAAAUCUGUCCCCAGUCACUCCUUCCUGCCCCAUAGAGGGAGUGCCUCCUCCCCUUUCCUGAAGAAGUUUAUGGGGUAAAACUGCAUCCACAACUUGAUAACAUAACUGCUUUGACACAUAUCAUCUCUUUGCACAUCCUUGGGCAUGGUCAGCUGAGUUCUGUUGAAGAUGGCUGACCCUUUCCUCAGUCAAUAACUGGGAAAUGGCAGAGAAAAAACAACUGUCAGUAGCUCUUGGAUUGUGGAAAGACUUGCACCUCUGGCCGGUGCAAGAAAAUCCCAAAGCCAGGCAUCUUCAUUUUGAUUUUGCCACCCCCCCACUGGAUAACUUUAGCAAAUUAUUCAAUCUCCCUGCACCUCUUCUUCCCAUGCAAACUGAGCAAUCUCUUUCUCGUGGGCCUUCUCUGAAGCACUGCUUAUGGAAUGCUGGUUAUUCAGCUUUUUCUAUGGCACCAAAAUGUUAAUAGUAAAUAUCAUUGGGUCAUUGACAUAUGGGUAAUAACUAUUUUACUUGCUUCUUUAUACCUUUUUGCAUUUUCUAAAAUGUCUACAGGGAGCACAAAUUAUUUCUGUAACAAAAAGGAGCAUACUUUGCCUAUUUUUUGACUUGAAAAUGUAAAUAAGUAUUGAAAAGUUUGCCUUAACUUUCAAGGAUGUGUUUCCUUCCUCCAGCGUAUUUGUUGACUGUGGAAUUCUUCAACAAGUUGGCAGUUAAAGGUGGUGUCUUGGUUAUAAAACUAGGUUCCCAUGAGAUUAAUACAAGAAGAAUGCAAGAAAUUCCCUUCCCAAUUAUACACCUUUCUAUUGUAAGCACAAAGCUGGGGCUAGUACUUUCACUUUCUCAGGCCACCAUGUGCCCAUGAAACACCCCAUGAUUAUAGUUUCACUUCAGCAUAGACCAAGAGUAGGGCUUACUGAUAAAGCUCGCAAGAUAGGAGUGAGAUCCACCCUCUAUCUCUUGCAGAAAGGCUUAGGCUAUAAGAACCUGAGAGAACAGGCUCUUCCUCAUCUCAAGGUCUUCAUUAUCUGAAAAGAACAUCUGUGUUAGACUUGACGUAAAGGGGAUAAAAACAGUCAACAUAUGAAGCUUCUGGAUUCAGAAAACCUAGAUUUCUCCAACAAGAUAUUUAACUUAAACCAUUUAUCAAAUUAUAUAUCAAAGAACUGCUGGGCUGAAAUCUCUUUCAAUUAUGUGAUUUUAACCAAUACUUUCAAGCAAAUAAUUUUAUGGUAGCAUUAUCUACCAUAAAGAAA